RNAcentral lists this ribosomal RNA (253 nucleotides) under uncultured bacterium. Its description in RNAcentral is "partial 16S ribosomal RNA". It matches the Rfam family "Bacterial small subunit ribosomal RNA", at positions 524 to 776 of the family's 1533-position model. The record is from RNAcentral.
UACGUAGGGAGCAAGCGUUGUCCGGAAUUAUUGGGCGUAAAGAGCUCGUAGGCGGUUCGUCGCGUCGGCUGUGAAAACCCGGAGCUCAACUCCGGGCCUGCAGUCGAUACGGGCGGACUUGAGUGUUGCAGGGGAGACUGGAAUUCCUGGUGUAGCGGUGAAAUGCGCAGAUAUCAGGAGGAACACCGGUGGCGAAGGCGGGUCUCUGGGCAACUACUGACGCUGAGGAGCGAAAGCGUGGGGAGCGAACAGG